AUUGAACGCUGGCGGCAGGCCUAACACAUGCAAGUCGAGCGGUAACACAGAGAGCUUGCUCUCGGGUGACGAGCGGCGGACGGGUGAGUAAUGUCUGGGAAACUGCCUGAUGGAGGGGGAUAAGUACUGGAAACGGUAGCUAAUACCGCAUAACGUCGCAAGACCAAAGAGGGGGACCUUCGGGCCUCUUGCCAUCAGAUGUGCCCAGAUGGGAUUAGCUAGUAGGUGGGGUAACGGCUCACCUAGGCGACGAUCCCUAGCUGGUCUGAGAGGAUGACCAGCCACACUGGAACUGAGACACGGUCCAGACUCCUACGGGAGGCAGCAGUGGGGAAUAUUGCACAAUGGGCGCAAGCCUGAUGCAGCCAUGCCGCGUGUAUGAAGAAGGCCUUCGGGUUGUAAAGUACUUUCAGCGAGGAGGAAGGUGCUGAGGUUAAUAACCUCAGCAAUUGACGUUACUCGCAGAAGAAGCACCGGCUAACUCCGUGCCAGCCGCCGCUGUAA
RNAcentral lists this ribosomal RNA (504 nucleotides) under uncultured bacterium. Its description in RNAcentral is "partial 16S ribosomal RNA". It matches the Rfam family "Bacterial small subunit ribosomal RNA", at positions 30 to 523 of the family's 1533-position model. The record is from RNAcentral.